UUAAAUGCAAAGAAAAGGAAAGUACUUUUAAAAAUACUUUUACAGAGAGUUUCUAUUUGGUGAGAAGAAGCGAAGGAUAUUAAAAGGAAAAUGGCCUUGGAGUAGUGCACCGAGAUUUCUUUAAGAAUUUAAGGCUGCAACGGGUUCACCCGUUAUAGUGAUAGAGUAUAAUCAAAUUAGUUGACGUACUUGAAGAGGUUUAUAAGGUGACUUAUAAAUGAAAUAGGAUGGUAACACGAAGUUUUUACUCUCGUUCCUAAG
RNAcentral lists this non-coding RNA (261 nucleotides) under Clostridium intestinale. RNAcentral describes it as "T-box sequence". It matches the Rfam family "T-box leader". Rfam says of the family: Uncharged tRNA acts as the effector for transcription antitermination of genes in the T-box leader family. T-boxes are found upstream of many aminoacyl-tRNA synthetase genes and some amino acid biosynthetic genes usually in Gram-positive bacteria. Lineage: Bacteria; Bacillati; Bacillota; Clostridia; Eubacteriales; Clostridiaceae. The record is from RNAcentral.